Molecule: non-coding RNA, 1663 nt
Organism: Coffea arabica (coffee)
Lineage: Eukaryota; Viridiplantae; Streptophyta; Magnoliopsida; Gentianales; Rubiaceae
Source: RefSeq, a predicted model, not a curated record
AAAUUUGGAGAUCCAAGAAAUUUACUCCAAUGAGUAAUAACAGUUUAAACUAGGGGUGUGCAUUCGGUGCAAAAGCAGUAAUUCGGUGCAAUGAAUUCGGUGAAUUCGGUUAUUAAACCUAUAGAAAUCUAAACCGUUUUCAAUUUCAAAUUGGCCAUAACCGAAUUCAUUCCGCAACCGAUUUCAAAUUCGAAAACGGUAAUGAAUUCGGUCUAACCGAAUACAUCUAUUACAAAAAAAUAAUACCCUGUUAUCAACUUAAGUUUGCAACAAUUCAGUAUUAACUUCACCAGAUUUGCAUAUAAUGCACACAAAGAAAUUGGGUCAGGGACAUUUUAUCAUAUUUCUUUUGGACAGAAACCUGUUCAGCCCAAAAAUAUUCUCCUGUUGGAUCAAGACUUAAAUCUAGGUUGUUGGCCAAUAUAAUAUUCAAGGCCAAGAAUAGACCAGUUUCAAAGAAGCACAAGUGCAUAACUUCAUCCAGAAUGUUGGCAAGACCUAUUAAUUAAGAGAAUCUCCCACGGACAAGGAGGUAAAAUUUUCAUUUUAGCAAGUUUUUUCCUUUUUAAUUUUUCUAACGGGUAAAAGGUGGAAUUUUUCCCCAAGGCCUUAACUUUUAAAGGCUGCACAACUGGAGAGAGAUUUCUUAUGUAUAAAAUACAAAGCUUAUGUUAUAUCAAAUCUAAUCUAAACUACUACAAAAGUGAGAGUUUGCAAUUGGAAGCUCAGAUUUCGUCCCCUUAUCAAUUAGGGGUGAGCAUUCGGUGCAAAUGCGGUAAAUCGGUGCGCUGAAUUCGGUUUUUUCGGUUAUUGCACCAAUAGAAAUCUAAACCGUUUUCAAUUUCGAAUUGGGCAUUACCGAAUUCAUGCAGUACCCGAUUUCAAAUUCAAAAACAGUAAUGAAUUCGGUCUAACCGAAUUCAUCUAUUAUGUAAAAAAAAAACCCUGAAGCAAAUUAAGAGAAUAUAUAAAACCAAUCUUUAUAGUUCAGCAACUACCAACCCCCGCAAGCCAUGAGAAAGCUACAAAUAUUAGACUGAAAAUAUGUAAAGAAGCUAGACAUAUGUAGGCCUUCUACUGGUUUGUAGUUAUAAAAGCUCAAUUGCUCUCUUCGAUAUGUUCUAGACUUGCUCCAAUGCUUUCCAUUACUUAUUCAGGAGCUGAUUACUUUUAUUGAGCUUAUUAAGAAUCCUAGGUACAACUUCUGGAGCCGUACUCUCACUAGAUGUGCACCAGAGAUUGAGAAUCUCCACGGACAAGGAGGUAAAAUUUUCAUUUUAGCAAGUUUUUUCCUUUUUAAUUUUUCUAACGGGUAAAAGGUGGAAUUUUUCCCCAAGGCCUUAACUUUUAAAGGCUGCACAACUGGAGAGAGCUUUCUUGUGUAUAAAAUACAAAGCUUAUGUUAUAUCACACCUAAUCUAAACUACUACAACAGUUAGAGUUUGCAAUUGGAAGCUCAGAUUUCGUCCCCUUAUCAAUUCAGGAUAACAAAUUUCCUAGUCGACCUUGGCCCAUUUUAAUGCCAGAGACACAGAGCCAAAAACAGAGGAGCACUUACCUAAGCGAGCCAGAGAUGAGCAGUGAUGAACCGGCGAUGAACCAGUGAGAUCUUGGUGCUUCGUCUUCGACACUCGGCAGCGAUGAACCAGCACGGCAGGACACA